Molecule: ribosomal RNA, 468 nt
Filed under: uncultured bacterium
Lineage: Bacteria
Description: partial 16S ribosomal RNA
Rfam family: Bacterial small subunit ribosomal RNA
Source: RNAcentral
GACGAACGCUGGCGGCGUGCUUAACACAUGCAAGUCGAACGGAAAGGCCCUGCUUUUGUGGGGUGCUCGAGUGGCGAACGGGUGAGUAACACGUGAGUAACCUGCCCUUGACUUUGGGAUAACUUCAGGAAACUGGGGCUAAUACCGGAUAGGAGCUCCUGCUGCAUGGUGGGGGUUGGAAAGUUUCGGCGGUUGGGGAUGGACUGGCGGCUUAUCAGCUUGUUGGUGGGGUAGUGGCUUACCAAGGCUUUGACGGGUAGCCGGCCUGAGAGGGUGACCGGCCACAUUGGGACUAAGAUACGGCCCAGACUCCUACGGGCGGCAGCAGUGGGAAAUAUUGCACAAUGGGCGGAAGCCUGAUGCAGCAACGCCGGGUGGGGGAUGACGGCCGUCGGGUUGUAAACCGCUUUCGCCUGUAACGAAGAGUGAGUGACGGUAACGGGUAAAGAAGGACCGGCUAACUACGUG